UGAGUGGGAAGAGGGUUCAAGGCAGCAGAAGCAGCGAGUGCAAAGGCCCUGGGGCAUGUCUGAGGACCAGGAAGGAGGCCAGUGUGGCUGCAGGAGACCAAGUGAGCAGACCAGGGCUCCAGUCAGGAUUCAAAGCGAGAUGUGUGGCACAUGCCUGUGUCCUGCCUUGCCCUCUCCGGCCUCCUCUUCAAGCCCUUGUCACUAAAACAUGAG
Molecule: long non-coding RNA, 213 nt
Organism: Herpailurus yagouaroundi (jaguarundi)
Lineage: Eukaryota; Metazoa; Chordata; Mammalia; Carnivora; Felidae
Exons: 2
Source: RefSeq, a predicted model, not a curated record